This 2769-nucleotide ribosomal RNA is filed under the name Triticum aestivum (bread wheat). RNAcentral describes it as "partial small subunit ribosomal RNA". Lineage: Eukaryota; Viridiplantae; Streptophyta; Magnoliopsida; Poales; Poaceae. The record is from RNAcentral.
AUGGCGUCCGCCGCCGCUCUUCUCCUCCAGCUCCAGCUGCUGCUGCUCCUCUCGCUCUCCGCUGCUCAGCCUGGUUUCAUCAGCUUGGAUUGUGGGGGAGCCGAUGAUUACACAGAUGGCAUUGGCAUCCAGUGGACUUCUGAUGCCAAGCUGGUCUUCGGUGGGCAGGCCACAAACCUGCCGGUCCAAAACCAGCUCCAGAAGCAGUAUUCAACUCUGAGGUAUUUUCCAGCAGACAACAGCAAGUAUUGCUACACGAUGAAUGUGAGGACCAGGACACGCUACCUCGUCAGAGCUAGCUUCCUCUACAGAAACUUCGACAACAGCAACGUCUACCCCAAGUUUGAUCUCUCCCUCGGAGCCACUCCCUGGUCCACGGUCAUAAUCGAUGAUGCCGACACGCCGGUUGUAGAGGAGGCCAUUAUCUUGGCUGCCGCUCCCACACUCAGUGUCUGCCUCUCCAAUGCCAGCACAGGACAGCCGUUUAUAUCUACACUCGAGCUUCGCCAGUUUAACGGUUCACUCUACUAUACUGACUAUGAGGCACAGUUCUUCCUUGCACUGUCUGCGAGGAUAAAUUUUGGUGCUGAUGGCAAUAAAUCAGUCAGGUACCCUGAUGAUCCAUUUGAUAGAAUAUGGGAAUCCGACUCUUUGAGGAGAGCGAAUUAUCUUGUUGAUGUUGCUCCAGGGACUGAAAGAAUAACAACCACAAAACCAGUAUUCGUCGGUACUGAAUUAGAACCACCUGAAAAGGUCAUGCAAACAGCGGUGGUUGGCCAAAAUGGAUCCUUGAACUACCGGCUUGAUUUGGAAGGGUUCCCGGGAAAUGCAUGGGCAGUCUCAUAUUUUGCUGAAAUUGAAGAUUUGGCCCCAGAUGAAACUAGGAAAUUUAAGUUAGUGGUUCCUGGCAUGCCAUUAUUCAGUAAACCAACCGUUGACGUGGAGGAGAAUGCGCAGGGGAAGUAUCGUUUGUACCAACCAGGUUACACAAAUGUGACACUUCCAUUUGUUUUCUCUUUCGAGUUCAAGAAGACAAAUGAUUCUUCAAAGGGACCUAUUUUGAAUGCUAUGGAAAUUUACAAACAUGUUCAGAUUACCAUGGGAUCUCAAGAUGCAAACACCAUGUCUAGCUUGGCCUCACGGUAUCCUCAAGCAGGUUGGGCGCAAGAGGGUGGUGAUCCAUGCUUACCAGUGUCAUGGACCUGGGUGCAAUGCAGUUCAGAAGCAGCACCCAGAGUUCUUUCAAUCACAUUGUCAGAGAAGAACAUCACAGGAAGUAUCCCUGAGGAGUUGACAAAGUUAUCCGCCUUGGUCGAGUUAAGACUCGAUGGCAACUCAUUUUCUGGUGGAAUCCCUGAUUUUAGUGGAUGCAGAAAUCUGCAGUAUAUUCACCUCGAAAACAAUCAGUUAAAUGGUGCACUGCCAUCCUCUUUGGGAGAACUACCUAACCUCAAAGAGUUGUAUAUUCAGAACAAUAGGCUUUCCGGACAUAUUCCAAGGGCACUUUCCAAGAAGAGCAUUAUUUUCAACUCGUCAGGCAAUAAUCUUCAGGGGCCAAGUGAUAGUAUUAGCCGCGGCACCAUCAUAAUCAUCGUAUGUGCGGUGGUUGGGGCCAUCUUGUUACUUGCGAUUGCUAUUGGAUGCUGUUUGUGUACACACAAGAGAAAGAAAAAACCUUCACGUGAAACUGUUGUUCUUGCAGCACCAGCGAAAAGGCUAGGGUCAUAUUUCAGUGAAGUAGCUACAGAAACAGCGCACAGAUUUGCUUUAUCAGAAAUUGAAGAUGCUACUGACAAAUUUGAGAGGAGGAUCGGCUCUGGAGGGUUUGGCAUAGUAUACUACGGAAAGCUGGCAGAUGGGAGAGAGAUCGCAGUCAAGCUUCUCACAAAUGACUCCUAUCAGGGCAUCCGAGAAUUCUUGAAUGAGGUGGCGUUGCUUUCGAGAAUACAUCACAGGAACUUGGUAACCUUCCUUGGUUACAGUCAACAAGACGGGAAGAACAUACUUGUGUACGAGUUCAUGCACAAUGGAACACUAAAGGAGCACCUUCGUGGAGGACCUAAUGAUGUGAAAAUAACUAGCUGGGUUAAGCGCCUUGAGAUAGCAGAAGAUGCUGCGAAAGGUAUAGAGUACCUCCAUACGGGAUGCUCUCCAACCAUAAUUCACAGAGAUGUUAAGAGUAGCAACAUUUUACUUGACAAGAACAUGCGGGCAAAAGUCGCAGACUUCGGCCUAUCAAAACCUGCAGUCGAUGGGUCUCAUGUAUCAAGCAUAGUUCGUGGGACGGUUGGGUAUCUUGAUCCAGAGUACUACAUCUCCCAGCAGCUAACAGAGAAGAGUGACAUAUACAGUUUUGGUGUCAUCCUACUUGAGCUAAUCUCUGGCCACGAGCCGAUCUCUAGUGAUAACUUUGGGCUCAACUGCCGUAACAUUGUGGCAUGGGCUAGGUCGCACAUUGAGAGUGGGAACAUUGACGCCAUCAUUGAUGCAUCACUGGAUACCGGCUACGACCUGCAGUCGGUGUGGAAGAUCGCGGAGGUGGGCAUCAUGUGUGUGAAGCCAAAGGGCGCGCAGAGGCCAACCAUCUCCGAGGUGCUCAAAGAGAUCCAGGAUGCCAUCGCCAUCGAGGUGCAGCGGGAGGCACCCCAAGUCCAGCAGCUCAUGUCCAAGAGGUCCAUGGGUUCUGUCUCGAUCAACACCGACAACAGUGUGGAUCUGGAGCAGAACGCGUCGUUUGAUGAAAUGCUCAUGCGGCCAGGCCUCAGGUAG